AUGCCUCUCCUUAUUCCAGUUCCGAUCAGAUUCAUCAUCUUUACACUUCCAUUUGAUCCUCGAAUGAUCAUGCCUCAGUCACUCUCACAAAGCCAAAAGAAAGAAAGAACAAAUGCGAAGAAGAUGAUAGCGAAGGACCUUACCGAACGGAGAACGUCCGGAGGCUCUCUGACGCUAUUCGAGAAAACCAGGGAUAAAUCAGGUCAGGAUCAUGGGUUGGUUUAUGAUAACAGUUUCAGCAGGGUUUUGGCAAGUGUAAUUGGCCUGGUCUAG
Molecule: non-coding RNA, 273 nt
Organism: Vicia faba (fava bean)
Lineage: Eukaryota; Viridiplantae; Streptophyta; Magnoliopsida; Fabales; Fabaceae
Source: the annotation of a GenBank genome assembly